GCCACAAGUCCCCUUUUCAGCUUCUGAUUGAAUGAACUGAUUUCAAUCUAAGUUAAAUCAUUGAAUGGGCUGGGCACAGUGGCUCAUGCCUGUAAUCCCAGCAGUUUGGGAGGCCGAGGCAAGUGGAUCACCAGAUCAAGAGAUCGAGACCAUCCUGGUCAACAUGGUGAAACCCCGUCUCUA
This is a long non-coding RNA of Sapajus apella (tufted capuchin), 183 nucleotides long. RefSeq lists it as uncharacterized. The record is from RefSeq and is a predicted model, not a curated record. The transcript has 3 exons. Lineage: Eukaryota; Metazoa; Chordata; Mammalia; Primates; Cebidae.